Molecule: unclassified non-coding RNA, 274 nt
Filed under: Glomeromycotina sp.
Lineage: Eukaryota; Fungi; Glomeromycota
Description: partial contains small subunit ribosomal RNA, internal transcribed spacer 1, and 5.8S ribosomal RNA
Rfam family: Eukaryotic small subunit ribosomal RNA (bases 1-47)
Source: RNAcentral
AAAGUCGUAACAAGGUUUCCGUAGGUGAACCUGCGGAAGGAUCAUUAAAAAGUUUGUCACAUCGUGACCUACUCUUGUGCAUCUGUUUACACGAUCUUGGCAGCUUAGUGCAAACGGUAUUUGCCUACUGUUUCACGUCUGCUGCAAAGCAGGAGCUGCCAAUGGACAAUUCUUGUCCAAACAAAACAAACUCUUAAAUAAAACCAAUGUCUGAAAAAAACUAUGAUUGAAUCAUAAUUUUAAACAACUUUUGACAACGGAUCUCUUGGCUCUC